GAGUUGACCUCCUUAUUGCAAUAAGGCUAGCAAAAAGUUAGGAAUAGCCUACAGCACCCCGGAUUCCCAUGUUGUCUCCAACCAUAGUACUAACGAGGCCCUCAGACGCUUAACUGCAGUGAUCAGACGGGAACUGGUGUUUUCGCCUAGGUAUGGCCGUAGACAGCACUAUAAGUAAUUAGUAAAAUAUAUAUAUGAUAUCCU
Schizosaccharomyces pombe (fission yeast) is the source of this 204-nucleotide non-coding RNA. The record is from the annotation of a GenBank genome assembly. Lineage: Eukaryota; Fungi; Ascomycota; Schizosaccharomycetes; Schizosaccharomycetales; Schizosaccharomycetaceae.